Molecule: ribosomal RNA, 605 nt
Filed under: Limosilactobacillus fermentum
Lineage: Bacteria; Bacillati; Bacillota; Bacilli; Lactobacillales; Lactobacillaceae
Description: bacterial SSU rRNA
Rfam family: Bacterial small subunit ribosomal RNA
Source: RNAcentral
AGGGUCUCCGCCGCUCAGCGCCGGAGGUAACGCAUUAAGCAUUCCGCUUGGGGAGUACGACCGCAAGGUUGAAACUCAAAGGAAUAGACGGGGGCCCGCACAAGCGGUGGAGCAUGUGGUUUAAUUCGAAGCUACGCGAAGAACCUUACCAGGUCUUGACAUCUUGCGCCAACCCUAGAGAUAGGGCGUUUCCUUCGGGAACGCAAUGACAGGUGGUGCAUGGUCGUCGUCAGCUCGUGUCGUGAGAUGUUGGGUUAAGUCCCGCAACGAGCGCAACCCUUGUUACUAGUUGCCAGCAUUAAGUUGGGCACUCUAGUGAGACUGCCGGUGACAAACCGGAGGAAGGUGGGGACGACGUCAGAUCAUCAUGCCCCUUAUGACCUGGGCUACACACGUGCUACAAUGGACGGUACAACGAGUCGCGAACUCGCGAGGGCAAGCAAAUCUCUUAAAACCGUUCUCAGUUCGGACUGCAGGCUGCAACUCGCCUGCACGAAGUCGGAAUCGCUAGUAAUCGCGGAUCAGCAUGCCGCGGUGAAUACGUUCCCGGGCCUUGUACACACCGCCCGUCACACCAUGAGAGUUUGUAACACCCAAAGUCGAGU